UUAUCGCAGUUUUAAAAAUUGGCACUUUUUGAAGAACCCACAUCAAAGUAUUGUGUUAAAUCCAAUUUAUGAAGCAGUAGGUGCAUGGCAUGGUCGUUGCUUGUUGUGAGUUCUGACGAGGACAGCUGAGUGAUGUUGUUGGUGAGCUUGGAUUAAAUCAUCUCUAAACAAAGAACUUGUCCUCGUGGUGACUGACUUGGGGAGUGGAGGUCAGUGAGCCCAUUGUCUCUGCUGGUCCGACUCCAACUACAAAGCCAAGCUCGCCCCCUCCUGAGUCUGAGAGGAGAUCCAGAGAGAAAGAAGUGAAAGCAGGCCGAAACCUCAGCACAUGGAUGACAUCAGCCAAAAACAUCCAGUACCAGCAAGUAAAGAUGAGCCAGGGGCGAUCCCUGUGGAAAAGACUUUUCCCGCUAUGAAGCAGCCCAGAAGACGCAAGCGCGCCAACAGGGAGGACAGAAGCUUGAGCUGUGAUCAGUGUGGGAAGUCUUUUACUCAGAUUUGUAACUUGAAAUCACAUCAGCUGAUCCACAGCGGUGUGAAACCAUUCAGUUGUGGUCAGUGUGGAAAGUCUUUUAUUCAGAGUCAUGGAUUAAAAACACAUCAGCUGAUCCACAGUGGAGAGAAACCUUUCAGCUGCAAUCAGUGUGGAAAGUCUUUUACUCAGAUGGGUAAUUUAAAAACACAUCAGCUCAUCCACAGUGGAGAGAAACCUUUCAGCUGUGAGCAGUGUGGAAAGUCUUUUGCUUAUGUUAGUAACUUAAAAAGACAUCAGCGCAUCCACAGUGGAGAGAAACCUUUCAGCUGUGAGCAGUGUGGAAAGUCCUUUACUCACAUUGCUGCCUUAAAAUCACAUCAGCUCAUCCACUCUGGUACUAAACAAUUUGUAUGUGGUGACUGUGGAAAGGCUUUUUUUGAGAUUGAAAGGUUAAAAGCACAUCAGCUCACCCACUCUGGUAUUAAACAAUUUUUAUGUGGUCUCUGUGGAAAGGCUUUUACUCACAUGACUAGCUUAAAGUCACAUCAGCGCACCCACUCUGGAGUUAAAUCAUUUGUAUGUUGUCAGUGUGGAAAGUCUUUUGCUACGUAUUAUUAUCUAAGAAAGCACAAUGUCAUCCACUCUGGAGUUAAACCACUGAAAUGUGAGUAGUGUGGAAAGUCUUUCAUCCAUAACACAUCUAAAUCAUAAACAGAUCUAUUGAGGUAUCAGAAAAUCCACAAAGUGUCCUCCUGUGAGAAAAGGGGCAGACCAAUGGGACAUUACCCUGACAGGGUUCAUUUAAACACAGUGGGAGAAACAGGGGUCUGAACAAAAGUCCUUCUGGAUGCUGCGUCAAACUUAAAAAAAAAGCUUGAAAUCAGGCUUCACAGAAUCGCAGCCUGUGUUCCAUUUUGUUUCAUGCAUUUAAUUUACUGGUGCAUCUUUGUUGUCUUAUAUUUUGUCUUACAGGAUGUGAGUCUGUUUUGCUUCAUGAAGAGACAAACCUAAUGUUUUUUAUGUUGCACUGAAAAUAUUAUUACUGUAAGUCAUAAAUGUGUGUCA
Long non-coding RNA from Pelmatolapia mariae (spotted tilapia), 1540 nucleotides. RefSeq lists it as uncharacterized. The record is from RefSeq and is a predicted model, not a curated record. The transcript is spliced from 3 exons. Lineage: Eukaryota; Metazoa; Chordata; Actinopteri; Cichliformes; Cichlidae.